Non-coding RNA from Pteropus alecto (black flying fox), 46 nucleotides. The record is from Rfam. Lineage: Eukaryota; Metazoa; Chordata; Mammalia; Chiroptera; Pteropodidae.
CCAAUGGCUUUUAUGAAAGCCUCAUAUAUUAACUUUAAAGUAAACU